GCCACAGUGCGUUGAUUUCUUGUUUGAACCGAUCGAUUAAAUAAAAAGUGACAAGUGAACUCGCAUCAAACGCUGAGGUUUUAUAUACAGCAAAUCACUCAAAGUAAAAUAAUUCUAUCCUCCUCCUCUCCGCUAGUGGGCGACUUACUAGACUCCCCUUAAGUCUUCCCUGAACUCUCGCGAUAUUACCGCGUCUGUCCCGCAAUCUUCCUUUUCCGGGAGUCUCUCAAGAUGGCGGACGCCGAGCAGAAGAAGAAGCGCACCUUCAGGAAGUUCACCUACAGAGGUGUGGACCUGGACCAGCUGCUGGACAUGUCCUAGUGAGUCAAAGCUCUGUCGUCUGAAGGUGAAACAUGUCGAGAGAAGCGAGGAAUGCUUGCCUCCAGUGGCAGUGGCAGCAUUCUUCUGAGGGACACGAUAUGCUGGAAUAUCCGAGCUGAUCUGUUUCAGAUAACACAGUUUCUGCAGGGCUUAUGAAGGGAAAUGUGUGACUUCUUAAAAUUCCAAAUAAAGACAUUUUAAAGACUGAAUUGAUUGGAACACGUCAAUACGGUAUUUAAAGUUUUUACAAAAAAACAAAGUCAUUGUUUUUGUCUUUAAAGGACUUAUUAGUUAAAAAUGAGACGCUAUUGUUUAAUUGUUUUCAUUUUUGAAUACUAAGUUCUUUAAUAGUUAUGAUGCUAAAUGCCCAUUUCAUGAACCUGCUGAUUUACCUGAAAUGCAUGUUUCACAGCAUUCAAUCAGGGUUUCGGCAGGUCUUGAAGUCUUAAUUCAUGCCUUCAGAAAUUAAGGCAUUACAUGUUGCAAACUUUGUGUAAAAUGUAUUAAAAAGUAAUGGUGAUCAGUUGGAAUUUGCAUCUUCAAACUUUGAAGUGUUGCUAAUACAAAACAUAUGUAGAGAAUAUAUUCAUGUAUGGUAUUCUAUUACAUUUAUUUUAUGCAUUUUCAUCAUUGCUAAAAGGUCGUAUAUUUACCAUAAAACCUGCAGAAACCAUAUUAAAAAGUAUGGACUGUAGUAGGUAAGCUGAUUUGUAAGAAGCAGAUCUAGCUUUUUAUUUUAGACAAUUUCAACAACAGGGUUGGAGUACUUAAAAAUAAAAAGACAACCUAAACAUGAAAAUUAAAAAAAACAACUGCUUUUCAAGUGACCAGAACAAUACUCU
This 1163-nucleotide long non-coding RNA is filed under the name Sinocyclocheilus grahami. RNAcentral describes it as "lncRNA (ENSSGRG00000043384.1)". The record is from RNAcentral. Lineage: Eukaryota; Metazoa; Chordata; Actinopteri; Cypriniformes; Cyprinidae.